RNAcentral lists this transfer RNA (130 nucleotides) under Candidatus Woesearchaeota archaeon. Its description in RNAcentral is "tRNA-Ser". It matches the Rfam family "tRNA". Rfam says of the family: Transfer RNA (tRNA) molecules are approximately 80 nucleotides in length. Their secondary structure includes four short double-helical elements and three loops (D, anti-codon, and T loops). Further hydrogen bonds mediate the characteristic L-shaped molecular structure. tRNAs have two regions of fundamental functional importance: the anti-codon, which is responsible for specific mRNA codon recognition, and the 3' end, to which the tRNAs corresponding amino acid is attached (by aminoacyl-tRNA synthetases). tRNAs cope with the degeneracy of the genetic code in two manners: having more than one tRNA (with a specific anti-codon) for a particular amino acid; and 'wobble' base-pairing, i.e. permitting non-standard base-pairing at the 3rd anti-codon position. The record is from RNAcentral. Lineage: Archaea; Nanobdellati; Candidatus Woesearchaeota.
GCCGCGGUCGCAUAGUCUGGCCAUUGCGGUGGAUUGCUAAGGGCGUUAUAGAGUAUCAACGUACCUACAAAAUGGCCUGCGAAAAUCCACUGUCCUUCGGGGCACGAGAGUUCGAAUCUCUCCCGCGGCG